Molecule: ribosomal RNA, 472 nt
Filed under: uncultured bacterium
Lineage: Bacteria
Description: bacterial SSU rRNA
Rfam family: Bacterial small subunit ribosomal RNA
Source: RNAcentral
UGGCUCAGGACGACGCUGGCGGCGUGCUUAACACAUGCAAGUCGAACGGAAAGGCCCCCUUGUGGGGUACUCGAGUGGCGAACGGGUGAGUAACACGUGAGUAACCUACCCUUGACUUUGGGAUAACUUCAGGAAACUGGGGCUAAUACCGGAUAGGAGCUCCUGCUGCAUGGUGGGGGUUGGAAAGUUUCGGCGGUUGGGGAUGGACUCGCGGCUUAUCAGCUUGUUGGUGGGGUAGUGGCUCACCAAGGCUUUGACGGGUAGCCGGCCUGAGAGGGUGACCGGCCACAUUGGGACUGAGAUACGGCCCAGACUCCUACGGGAGGCAGCAGUGGGGAAUAUCGCACAAUGGGCGGAAGCCUGAUGCAGCAACGCCGCGUGCGGGAUGACGGCCUUCGGGUUGUAAACCGCUUUCGCCUGUGACGAAGCGUGAGUGACGGUAAUGGGUAAAGAAGCACCGGCUAACUACGUG